GGAGCCCGCGGCCCACGAAUGUUGGGUCGGGGUGCUCAGAUGGCGGAGACACUGGCAAGUUUUUCCUCGGCAACGGUCGGGUUCACCUAGUACAGCUGCUCUUCGGGGUGGUGGGAACGGUUGGUCUCGGUGCGGCUGAGAAGGAAUGUAAGCACCCUGUUGGGUCCUGAAGGAACAACCAUCGUGUUGUUGUUUCAGAGACGUGGCUGGCCUCCUGUGUGGGGGCUGGCAGUCUGCCAGGCAUGGCCUGGCCUCACAUACCGCUGGUCCGUCAAGGAUCGGGUUUUGGUGUGGGGCGGAUCGGGUUGUGGGUUGGU
This 317-nucleotide unclassified non-coding RNA is filed under the name Micromonospora sp. Its description in RNAcentral is "partial 16S-23S ribosomal RNA intergenic spacer". Lineage: Bacteria; Bacillati; Actinomycetota; Actinomycetes; Micromonosporales; Micromonosporaceae. The record is from RNAcentral.